Ictalurus punctatus (channel catfish) is the source of this 1270-nucleotide long non-coding RNA. Lineage: Eukaryota; Metazoa; Chordata; Actinopteri; Siluriformes; Ictaluridae. The record is from Ensembl.
AUUAUUAUUAGUAGUAGUAGUAGUAUUAAUAUUUCGUUACAAGGCUAUUGUCCCAGCUAGGCCCGUUUAGAAGGUUUUAGCCUCCUCCGUCACUCAGCUCUUCCUAGUUAUAUGAAACAAGUGAAAAUCAGGGCUUCGUGCAUUCCUUGGAGUUGUACAGAAAGAAAAAAGAAGAACCGAGGCACCUGAAUCAAACUUAUUUUUACCAGAUGUGCUUCGGUAUUUUUCUUUUAAAGUCACGUGAAGCAGCGAGCAGAUGUUUUAGCUGCAGCUGGGGGUCCGCCUUCGCGAGAGCACAGCCGCAGAACAGCAGCUCUGACACAAAGCGCUUGGAUUUUUUCCUUAAUCAAGAAAGAGAAGAAGUUUAGACGCUGUUUUUUUAAAUGGAGAGUUUGGAGUUGUUUUGUUGGUGUUGUUAUCGAAGCUAGGAAGAAGACGAGCGCUCUCCUCCCCUUCUCUUCCCCCUCCUGCUCUGCUCUUCUGCUCGGGGAUUUCUCUUUCUGAUAGACGACUGUGCAGGAUUUGCUUUUCCUUUCUCGAGGAGAAGAGAGACAGAGACAAUGAUGUUUUCCAGAAACAGAUGUGGUUCUUGUAAGAGUAGGCCCGCGAUUCAGUUCUGAAAAGCUAAAAUUGUAACAAAUUUUAAUUACUAAUCUGUGAUAAAUAAUGACCUAAACUAACCACGCCUUUAUUUGUCAGAAGUUGGAGCACCUUGACUGAUGUUUUUGCAAAGAUUUAAUUUGAAAAUGAAACACAAUUCAAUAAAUAAAUAACUAAAUAAAUAAAUAAAUAAAACACAAGUAAGAAGAUUUGACUGUGGCAUGGCUGUGUUUUUCUUUCCUGCAUGAAGAAUGCAGGAUAUCAGAUCAGCUGAAAUUCCUCCGUCUUCAGUGGCUAGGCUACAGAAACCCACAUGAGCAGUCCACUUGAACGAUUUGACUUGUGUGUGUGUGUGUGUGUGUGUGUGUGUGUGUGUGUGUGUGUGUGCGUGCGUGUAAAUGUAAAUAUUAAACCAUCCGGUUUGACCCGAGGGGCAACAGUGAUUCACCAAGAGAGAGGGAAUCGAUUCCCCGGCUUCAGAUGACCGUGUCCGUGUUGUCUUAAACUUGAGGCAGUGUUCUGGGGGAAGAGGAAGGUACUAACUUUAACGACAUUAACACUUCAUACUGUUUGGGGUAUUAGGGCCAAAUUCCUGCGCCUCGACCUUUCGAAAUUAUAAAGCAGGCACUGCAGAAGAAGGAGAUAAAACACACACACACACACACACACA